AAGUCGUAACAAGGUUUCCGUAGGUGAACCUGCGGAAGGAUCAUUAUCGAAGCUCUCGAGCUGUGCGCCUUCGGGCUUGCACGCUUGUUGAACCUCGUCCACUCCGUGCACUUUUCCGUGGCGUCGCGAGACGCCUCGUCUUUUCUUUACUCUUUUAUGUAUGUCCUGGAUGUUUUUCUUAUUUUAUACAACUUUCGGCAACGGAUCUCUUGGCUCCC
Molecule: unclassified non-coding RNA, 218 nt
Filed under: fungal sp.
Lineage: Eukaryota; Fungi
Description: partial internal transcribed spacer region
Rfam family: Eukaryotic small subunit ribosomal RNA (bases 1-46)
Source: RNAcentral